This 476-nucleotide ribosomal RNA is filed under the name uncultured bacterium. RNAcentral describes it as "bacterial SSU rRNA". It matches the Rfam family "Bacterial small subunit ribosomal RNA", at positions 32 to 509 of the family's 1533-position model. The record is from RNAcentral.
AAUCAACGCUGGCGGCGUGCCUAACACAUGCAAGUCGAACGCGGUUACUCCGCAAGGGGUAAUUGAGUGGCGAACGGGUGAGUAACGCGUGGGUGACCUACCUUCGAAUGGGGGAUAACGUCCCGAAAGGGACGCUAAUACCGCAUAACAUCCUGCCUUUGAACAGGUGGAGAUCAAAGCCGGGGAUCGCAAGACCUGGCGUUUGAAGAGGGGCCCGCGUCUGAUUAGCUAGUUGGUGAGGUAACGGCCCACCAAGGCGACGAUCAGUAUCCGGCCUGAGAGGGCGGACGGACACACUGGGACUGAGACACGGCCCAGACUCCUACGGGAGGCAGCAGUGGGGAAUUGUUCGCAAUGGGCGCAAGCCUGACGACGCAACGCCGCGUGGAGGAUGAAGGUCUUCGGGAUGUAAACUGCUGUCAGGGGUGAGGAAUAAGUUGACCAACCCCAGAGGAAGCAUCGGCUAACUCCGUGCC